This 253-nucleotide ribosomal RNA is filed under the name uncultured bacterium. RNAcentral describes it as "partial 16S ribosomal RNA". It matches the Rfam family "Bacterial small subunit ribosomal RNA", at positions 524 to 776 of the family's 1533-position model. The record is from RNAcentral.
UACGGGGGGGGUAAGCGUUGUUCGGAAUUACUGGGCGUAAAGGGCUCGUAGGCGGCCAACUAAGUCAGACGUGAAAUCCCUCAGCUUAACUGGGGAACUGCGUCUGAUACUGGAUGGCUUGGAUUCGGGAGAGGAAUGCGGAAUUCCAGGUGUAGCGGUGAAAUGCGUAGAUAUCUGGAGGAACACCGGUGGCGAAGGCGGCAUCCUGGACCAAUAUUGACGCUGAGGAGCGAAAGCCAGGGGAGCAAACGGG